UAUUUCACGUCAUUUUCCGUGGUUUUCGCUCUGAUCGAGCCAGCUCAUUCGUGCUAAAGCAUAAGCAAAAGUUUUCUUCUGACACUUACUUUGAAUUGACUGGUAGAAAGUAUGUACCUAUCAUAUGGCAUUAGGUCCGCCCCAUGUAUGGUGGCAGGGGUAGAUUAGAUUACCUAUGGUAUAUCACGUAGGAUACUUUUUGACCUCGGGAACGCGGACGAAGCUUCUGCUGGUAGAAUCUAGUUUGUCAUAUUAGUCUGAUUUUGUGUACAUCAAAAUAAACAAAAUGAAGUACAUAUUACGUAUUCAAUGUCUUGUGGACAUUGAAGGUUAUGCAUAAAGUGCAUAUUCUUUUUACUUCUUAUUAGUUGUGACCUGUUUUCUCCAUUAGUAUAAAAUGGUGCAUUGGUGCAACAUAGUCAUCAGUUGUAUCUGGAAAUUAUCACCAUGAAACUCUUUGCCUUCAUCACGUUGUUCGUGUGCGCCAUCUUGGCUCUGGCCAGCGGUGAUCAAGGGUUCUACAGACAGGUGCGCAGCCCAGUGCCUGUCCAGGACGCAGAGCCACAACAACAACCACCGCACUACGGAUACGGAUACGGACGCUAGAGAAUAAAUGCGUUUUUUAUUUUAAAUUUGGACUUUUGUUUUGUGAUUAUUAAAAUUUUAUUUGGCA
This is a long non-coding RNA of Spodoptera frugiperda (fall armyworm), 673 nucleotides long. RefSeq lists it as uncharacterized. The record is from RefSeq and is a predicted model, not a curated record. NCBI's taxonomy places the organism in Eukaryota, Metazoa, Arthropoda, Insecta, Lepidoptera, Noctuidae. The transcript has 2 exons.